CUGCAGCCAAUUUAGCCGACUGGGUUCCCUUCCUCAUGAGGGCCCAGCGUGCAAUGGCUGCAAACAGCAGCCAUUGGUAAUGUAAUGCAGCCUGUUUCUUGUAUGGGUUGCACUAAGGGACCUUGGAGACGAGC
Saimiri boliviensis boliviensis (Bolivian squirrel monkey) is the source of this 134-nucleotide small nucleolar RNA. Its record names the gene SNORA70. It matches the Rfam family "Small nucleolar RNA SNORA70". Rfam says of the family: snoRNA U70 seems to be exclusive to mammals and is a member of the H/ACA class of snoRNA which contain H (ANANNA) and ACA box motifs. H/ACA box snoRNAs are involved in the conversion of uridines to pseudouridines (5-ribosyluracil) a constituent of structural RNAs (transfer, ribosomal, small nuclear, and small nucleolar). NCBI's taxonomy places the organism in Eukaryota, Metazoa, Chordata, Mammalia, Primates, Cebidae. The record is from Ensembl.